This 468-nucleotide ribosomal RNA is filed under the name uncultured bacterium. Its description in RNAcentral is "partial 16S ribosomal RNA". It matches the Rfam family "Bacterial small subunit ribosomal RNA", at positions 28 to 507 of the family's 1533-position model. The record is from RNAcentral.
GACGAACGCUGGCGGCGUGCUUAACACAUGCAAGUCGAACGGAAAGGCCCUGCUUUUGUGGGGUGCUCGAGUGGCGAACGGGUGUGUAACACGUGAGUAACCUGCCCUUGACUUUGGGAUAACUUCAGGAAACUGGGGCGAAUACCGGAUAGGAGCUCCUGCUGCAUGGGGGGGGUUGGAAAGUUUCGGCGGUUGGGGAUGGACUCGCGGCUUAUCAGCUUGUUGGUGGGGUAGUGGCUUACGAAGGCUUUGACGGGUAGCCGGCCUGAGAGGGUGAACGGGCACAAUGGGCCUGCGGUACGCACCAGACUGGAACGGGAGGCAGCGGGGGGGAGUCUUACACAACGGGGGGAAGCCUGAGGCGGAAACGCCGCGUGCGGGAUGACGGCUUUUGGGUUGUAAACCGCUGUCGCAGGUGACGAAGCGGGAGUGACGGUACUGGGUAAAGAAGCACCGGCUAACUACGUG